AGGGAAAAGAAGGAGAUCGGGGCAUUCCAGGAGCUGAAGGACCCAAAGGAAUUAGGGGUAGAAGAGGUAAUUCUGGCACACCAGGUUCCCUGGGAGAUCCAGGUGACCAAGGGCCAUCAGGACCUAUGGGUGCCAAGGGACCAGUGGGCACCAUUUUAAUGGAACCUUGUGAACUUGUGAAUUUUUCCCGAAAAAACUGCC
This is a long non-coding RNA of Melospiza melodia melodia, 201 nucleotides long. RefSeq lists it as uncharacterized. The record is from RefSeq and is a predicted model, not a curated record. Lineage: Eukaryota; Metazoa; Chordata; Aves; Passeriformes; Passerellidae. The transcript has 4 exons.